This 253-nucleotide ribosomal RNA is filed under the name uncultured bacterium. RNAcentral describes it as "partial 16S ribosomal RNA". It matches the Rfam family "Bacterial small subunit ribosomal RNA", at positions 524 to 776 of the family's 1533-position model. The record is from RNAcentral.
UACGGGGGGGGCAAGCGUUGUUCGGAAUUACUGGGCGUAAAGGGCUCGUAGGCGGCCAACUAAGUCAGACGUGAAAUCCCCAGGCUCAACCUGGGAACUGCGUCUGAUACUGGAUGGCUUGAAUCCGGGAGAGGGAUGCAGAAUUCCAGGUGCAGCGGAGAAAUGCGUAGAUAUCUGGAGGAAUACCGGUGGCGAAGGCGGUAUCCUGGACCGGCAUUGACGCUGAGGAGCGAAAGCCAGGGGAGCAAACGGG